GCGGUCAAGUUACAUGCAGGGUGCUCAUCACCCAUUCCUAACAGCCUUGUGGAAGGUCUGAGACAAAAAAACAAUCAGUGUCCUUAUAGGGCAUCACCUGAGACAGGUGUCUGAGUUUCCAGCCAGAUUGAGCCCUGAGUUGAGGCGCUAGGCAGAAGAAGUGAGCAGAGGGUCUCCUCCCUGGGCAGAUGGCAAUUCCCUGGCCCAGUGAUUGGGACAGACUCAUGCCAGAAGCUCCGAGUUCUUUGGGCUGAGGGGAGGCCAGUGCCCCAAACAGACCUCAGACUCUCCUGC
RNAcentral lists this RNase P RNA (294 nucleotides) under Chelonia mydas (Green sea turtle). Its description in RNAcentral is "Nuclear RNase P". It matches the Rfam family "Nuclear RNase P". Rfam says of the family: Ribonuclease P (RNase P) is a ubiquitous endoribonuclease, found in archaea, bacteria and eukarya as well as chloroplasts and mitochondria. Lineage: Eukaryota; Metazoa; Chordata; Testudines; Cheloniidae. The record is from Rfam by way of RNAcentral.